AUGCUUUCCCCGUUCAUAAGCAUGAUGAUUGGGUGUUCACACAUUAGUGUGACAUGUGCCUCCCUUAAAUCUUGUUAUGCAUUUGGCGUAUUAACCACCGGUGU
RNAcentral lists this small nucleolar RNA (104 nucleotides) under Sorex araneus (European shrew). Its description in RNAcentral is "Small nucleolar RNA U13 (ENSSARG00000019606.1)". It matches the Rfam family "Small nucleolar RNA U13". The record is from RNAcentral. Lineage: Eukaryota; Metazoa; Chordata; Mammalia; Eulipotyphla; Soricidae.